GUGGGCUAUGGGGACAUGUACCCCAUGACAAUCGGUGGCAAGAUUGUGGGGUCCUUGUGUGCCAUCGCGGGAGUUCUCACCAUUGCUCUUCCUGUCCCUGUCAUCGUGUCCAAC
Molecule: non-coding RNA, 114 nt
Organism: Chaetura pelagica (chimney swift)
Lineage: Eukaryota; Metazoa; Chordata; Aves; Apodiformes; Apodidae
Source: Rfam